This 69-nucleotide transfer RNA is filed under the name Phrynosoma platyrhinos (Desert horned lizard). Its description in RNAcentral is "tRNA-OTHER". The record is from RNAcentral. Lineage: Eukaryota; Metazoa; Chordata; Lepidosauria; Squamata; Phrynosomatidae.
GACAGUGUGGUGUAGUGGUUUGAGCACUGGACUACAACUCUGGAGAUCAGGUUCAAAUCCCUACUUUCA